UACGUAGGUGGCAAGCGUUGUCCGGAUUUACUGGGCGUAAAGGGCGUGCAGGCGGUUUGUUAAGUCUAGGGUGAAAGCUCCCGGCUCAACUGGGAGAGGUCCUUGGAUACUGGCGAACUUGAGGGAUGCAGAGGAAAGUGGAAUUCCCGGUGUAGUGGUGAUAUGCGUAGAUAUCGGGAGGAACACCAGUGGCGAAGGCGGCUUUCUGGGCAUUUCCUGACGCUGAGACGCGAAAGCGUGGGGAGCGAACCGGAUUAGAAACCCUAGUAGUCC
RNAcentral lists this ribosomal RNA (273 nucleotides) under uncultured bacterium. RNAcentral's name for it is "partial 16S ribosomal RNA". It matches the Rfam family "Bacterial small subunit ribosomal RNA", at positions 524 to 796 of the family's 1533-position model. The record is from RNAcentral.